Long non-coding RNA from Carassius auratus (goldfish), 582 nucleotides. RefSeq lists it as uncharacterized. The transcript is spliced from 3 exons. The record is from RefSeq and is a predicted model, not a curated record. Lineage: Eukaryota; Metazoa; Chordata; Actinopteri; Cypriniformes; Cyprinidae.
GUGGACUUAUUUUUCACUCCUUAUUAGUUUACUACAAAGUAAUUUAACUAUUACGGAUACGCAUUCAAUUAUAUCAAAUACAUACAUGAUACAUAUUACACAAAAGAUGUUCAGAUAAAGUUAACUCGAUAUGAGGAGGGCACCAGUAUUCUUGUUCAGGAUGAGCAGCAGGUUAAAUGUGUCGAGUUUCAGCACGAGAAUUUCUGAAGAGCUCAACCUCAUCUGUUAAGCUUCAUCUGCAGGAAGAUGAUGAUAUAGGGGGCAGCUGUGGUCUUAUGGUUAGAGAAUUGGACUUGUAACCCAAAGGUCGCAGGUUCGAGUCUCUGUGCUGGCAGGAGUUGCAGGUGGGGGGACGUUAAUGAACAGUGCUCUCUUCCACCCUCAAUACCCAUGGCUGAAGUGUCCUUGAUCACCCUCAGUUGCUCCCCGGGCAUUGGAUAUAUAACUGCUCAGGGUGUGUGUUCACUUCUUGCUGCUGUGUGUGUGCACUUGGAUGGGUUAAAUGUAGAAAACCAAUUCUGAGUAUGGGUUACCAUACUUGGCAAAUGUCAUGACUUUCAUAAAGUUCAGUCAAAUGACUGU